CUCUCCGGCGCUGUGCAGCGUGGCGCCGAGCCAUUGGCCGGACUUGUCGUCCGUCCGCUCCAGGUAUCGCCCCAGUGGAGCCUCGGUGGUUCCUGCGCGACAUCAGAAAGGAAAUGACGAUCGCUCACGUCACGAGGGAGAAAACCCGGGGCAGCAGAGGAAGCUUACGAGUAGCAGAAUAGCGUUUGGUCAGAAGAAGCGAAGCCGUUGGGACCACAGUAACGCUUCUGAGUCAUGCCACCAUCCUGUCGCGACCGGAGAACUCCAGGUGCCAAAAAUUGCCGGCGAGGUGCUGCUGGAACACCGCCCCCAUCGCCCGUCGGCCCAUAAAGCG
Molecule: non-coding RNA, 334 nt
Organism: Dermacentor albipictus
Lineage: Eukaryota; Metazoa; Arthropoda; Arachnida; Ixodida; Ixodidae
Source: RefSeq, a predicted model, not a curated record